GGAGGAGUGGGUGAGUGGUUGAAACCACCUGACUUGAAAUCAGGCAAGGGCGCAAGUCCUUCGGGGGUUCGAAUCCCUCCUCCUCCGCCA
Molecule: transfer RNA, 90 nt
Filed under: SAR324 cluster bacterium
Lineage: Bacteria; Deltaproteobacteria
Also listed under: 2 other names
Description: tRNA-Ser
Rfam family: tRNA
About the family: Transfer RNA (tRNA) molecules are approximately 80 nucleotides in length. Their secondary structure includes four short double-helical elements and three loops (D, anti-codon, and T loops).
Source: RNAcentral